RNAcentral lists this unclassified non-coding RNA (228 nucleotides) under uncultured fungus. Its description in RNAcentral is "partial contains 18S rRNA, ITS1, 5.8S rRNA, ITS2 and 28S rRNA". The record is from RNAcentral. Lineage: Eukaryota; Fungi.
UAUAAACUUGAACAGGUUGUUGCUGGCCCUCUUGGAGAGCAUGUGCACGCUUGUCAUCUUUAUUUCUCCAACUGUGCACACAUUGUAGACCUGGAGGGGCUUUUUCGAAAUAUUUUUCGAGUAGAGGGACUGCUGUGCUUUUGUAAAAUUCAUAUAUAUAAGAGUCGGCUUUCCCUUGUAUUUUUCAGGUCUAUGUCAUUAUCACAAACCUAUGAAUCUGUUUAGAAU